UAUUGUAUUGCGUUAGACGCGACAUACAUUCCAUGAUACUUUGUUACGGUGUGUGUGUGUGUAAAGACGUAGGACCACAGCAAGAGGACAGAGUCCCCAGGCCAUAGAACUACAGGGGUGCACAGGUGUGAGUGGAUGUGUAAACAGAGCGUGCACUUGACCCCUUUUGAGGACCAGCAACAACUCGUGUCGACAGUUCGGUAAUGAUCCUUCCGCAGGUUCACCUACGGAAA
This 233-nucleotide unclassified non-coding RNA is filed under the name uncultured fungus. Its description in RNAcentral is "sequence contains ITS1". The record is from RNAcentral. Lineage: Eukaryota; Fungi.